RNAcentral lists this long non-coding RNA (502 nucleotides) under Scleropages formosus (Asian bonytongue). RNAcentral describes it as "lncRNA (ENSSFOG00015032186.1)". The record is from RNAcentral. Lineage: Eukaryota; Metazoa; Chordata; Actinopteri; Osteoglossiformes; Osteoglossidae.
GCUGAGCUCUGAAAAAGUACAGUGAUGCAGAAGAGUGCUCUGUAUGUACUCGACCAGGGGACAUGCCUGAGGAGCACAUUAUGAUUUGCCACAGCAUGCUUGGGCUCACACUGCUGCUGCUGUCUCUGACGGCGAACCUCCACCUGGGCUUUGUUUGGGCAAAAAGAAAGCGAGAUGAUGCUUGGACGGCAGUACUUCUGCCAGCUGUUCUGCACUGGCUUUCACACCCAGUGAGUAGCUGAACCAGUGUUAUUUUGAUCAAGAAAGAUUUAUUAUUAGUUCAACAAGGUGUAGUGCCCUGGGAAACUCAAAAAUGUUUCCUUCAAGCUGUCAAAAUUGUAUAAAUUGUAUACAUGAUCGUACUUGACAGUCAUGGUGAAAUGCACCCAUGGACCCUGACCAAGUGCUUUGUACUCUUGUUUGCUUAGUGUUUCAUUGGGCAAGUUGUUAAACCUGAUGCAUGUUCUCCUAGUAAUGAGGUCAGCCUAUGGGCAUGUCCAGG